RNAcentral lists this ribosomal RNA (253 nucleotides) under uncultured bacterium. RNAcentral describes it as "partial 16S ribosomal RNA". It matches the Rfam family "Bacterial small subunit ribosomal RNA", at positions 524 to 776 of the family's 1533-position model. The record is from RNAcentral.
UACGGAGGGUGCAAACGUUGCUCGGAAUCAUUGGGCGUAAAGCGCACGUAGGCGGCUUGUUAAGUCGGAUGUGAAAGCCCUGGGCUCAACCCAGGAAGUGCAUUCGAAACUGGCGAGCUUGAAUAUGGAAGAGGGUCGCGGAAUUCCCGGUGUAGAGGUGAAAUUCGUAGAUAUCGGGAGGAACACCAGUGGCGAAGGCGGCGACCUGGGCCAAUAUUGACGCUGAGGUGCGAAAGCGUGGGGAGCAAACAGG